RNAcentral lists this ribosomal RNA (257 nucleotides) under uncultured prokaryote. RNAcentral describes it as "partial 16S ribosomal RNA". It matches the Rfam family "Bacterial small subunit ribosomal RNA", at positions 521 to 777 of the family's 1533-position model. The record is from RNAcentral.
UAAUACGGAGGGGGCGAGCGUUAUUCGGAAUUAUUGGGCGUAAAGGGCGCGUAGGCGGCUUGUCAAGUCAAAGGUGAAAUCCCUCGGCUCAACUGAGGAACUGCCUUUGAAACUAGCGAGCUUGAGGCCGGGAGGGGGUAGCGGAAUUCCCAGUGUAGCGGUGAAAUGCGUAGAUAUUGGGAGGAACACCAGUGGCGAAGGCGGCUACCUGGACCGGUUCUGACGCUGAGGCGCGAAAGCGUGGGUAGCAAACAGGA